Molecule: long non-coding RNA, 855 nt
Filed under: Marmota monax (woodchuck)
Lineage: Eukaryota; Metazoa; Chordata; Mammalia; Rodentia; Sciuridae
Source: RNAcentral
GCUUAAACACGGACGUGCGCCUGAGGAACUUCUGAAUCUGAGGGCCUAAACAUGGACGCCUGAGGCACUUCCGGAUCCUAGAGCCUAAACAUGGAUGCUGAGGAACUUCCGGGCCCAGGGCCUUAAACAUGGACGUGCAUCUGAGGAACUUCCGGAUCCAGGAGCUUAAACAUGGACGUGCACCUGAGGAACUUUGGAUCCGGGGGCCUAAACAUAGACGUGCCCCCGAGGAACUUCCAGAUCUGGGGACCUAAAUAUGGACAUGCACCUGAGGAACUUCCGUAUGCUACGGCCUAAACAUGGAAGACUGAGGAACUUCCGGAUCCGAGGGCCCAAAGAUGGACGUCACCUGAGGAACUUCCGGAUCUGGGGGCCUAAACAUGGAUGCCUGAGGCAUUCCAGAUCCUGGGGCCUAAACAUGGACGCCUGAGGCACUUUCAGAUCCUAGAGCCUAAACAUGGAUGCUGAGGAGCUUCCAGACCCGGGGGCUUAAACAUGGACGUGCACCUGAGGACCUCUGGAUCCGUGGGCCUAAAUAUGGACGCCUAAGGAACUUCUGGAUCCGGGGGCCUAAACAUGGACACCCGAGGAACUUCCGGAUCCUAGAGUCUAAAUAUGGAUGUGCACCUGAGGCACUUCUGGAUGCUACGGCCUAAACAUGGAUGUGCGCCUGAGGAACUUCCGGAUGCGGGCACCUAAACAUGGACGUGCACCUUUGAAACUUCUGGAUCCGGAUCCCGGGGCCUAAACAUGGACGCUUGAGGCAUUUCCAGAUCCGAGGGCCUAAACAUGGACAUGUCCCUGGAACUUCUGGGUCCUUGUGCCUAUAAAGGGCAGGGCGUGACUCUCAGAAGG